AGCAGUCGCCGCGGGAAUACAGAGGAUGCAAGCGUUAUCCGGAAUUAUUGGGCGUAAAGGGCUCGCAGGCGGUUUCUUAAGUCUGAUGUGAAAGCCCCCGGCUCAACCGGGGAGGGUCAUUGGAAACUGGGAAACUUGAGUGCAGAAGAGGAGAGUGGAAUUCCACGUGUAGCGGUGAAAUGCGUAGAGAUGUGGAGGAACACCAGUGGCGAAGGCGACUCUCUGGUCUGUAACUGACACUGAGGCGCGAAAGCGUGGGGAGCAAACAGGAUUAGAUACCCCCGUAGUCCCUGUCUCUUAUAC
This 303-nucleotide ribosomal RNA is filed under the name uncultured bacterium. RNAcentral describes it as "partial 16S ribosomal RNA". It matches the Rfam family "Bacterial small subunit ribosomal RNA", at positions 507 to 807 of the family's 1533-position model. The record is from RNAcentral.